Molecule: small nucleolar RNA, 115 nt
Filed under: Leersia perrieri
Lineage: Eukaryota; Viridiplantae; Streptophyta; Magnoliopsida; Poales; Poaceae
Description: snoRNA snoZ188
Rfam family: Small nucleolar RNA Z188
About the family: Z188 is a member of the C/D class of snoRNA which contain the C (UGAUGA) and D (CUGA) box motifs. Most of the members of the box C/D family function in directing site-specific 2'-O-methylation of substrate RNAs.
Source: Rfam by way of RNAcentral
GUGUGCUGGUGAUGAUUGAAGAGCUAGCUAUGGUGAAUUCGAUGAAUGUGCUCACGUACCACUGGGUGCGCAGCACUGCUGAUAUGCAUUAUUCCGCAGUUCAUCUGAGGCAAGC